CUUCAGCGAGCCCAGGUACAGCGGCCGGCCGGCCGGCCGGUCCUGACCGUAGGUCGCGAGGACGGCCUGGGCCUC
Molecule: antisense RNA, 75 nt
Filed under: Frankia alni ACN14a
Lineage: Bacteria; Bacillati; Actinomycetota; Actinomycetes; Frankiales; Frankiaceae
Description: ASpks TB sRNA
Rfam family: ASpks TB sRNA
Source: Rfam by way of RNAcentral